GACGGAGGAGGCAAGCGUUAUCCGGAAUUAUUGGGCGUAAAGGGUACUUAGGCGGCUGGUCAAGUCUGGGGUUAAAGGCCACAGCUCAACUGUGGGAAGGCCCUGGAAACUGACCGGCUAGAGUGAGGUAGGGGUUGCGGGAAUUCCCGGUGUAGCGGUGAAAUGCGUAGAGAUCGGGAAGAACACCUGAGGCGGAAGUGCGCAACUGGGCCUCAACUGACGUUGAGGUACGAAAGCUAGGGGAGCGAAUGGG
RNAcentral lists this ribosomal RNA (253 nucleotides) under uncultured bacterium. Its description in RNAcentral is "partial 16S ribosomal RNA". It matches the Rfam family "Bacterial small subunit ribosomal RNA", at positions 524 to 776 of the family's 1533-position model. The record is from RNAcentral.